This 789-nucleotide ribosomal RNA is filed under the name uncultured archaeon. RNAcentral's name for it is "bacterial SSU rRNA". It matches the Rfam family "Archaeal small subunit ribosomal RNA", at positions 85 to 879 of the family's 1478-position model. The record is from RNAcentral.
ACGGCUCAGUAACACGUGGACAACCUACCCUAAGGAGGGGGAUAACCCCGGAAAACUGGGGAUAAUACCCCAUAGACUACAGAAUCUGGAAUGAUCUGUAAUUGAAAGGUCCGCCGCCUUAGGAUGGGUCUGCGGCAGAUUAGGUUGUUGUUGGGGUAACGGCCCAACAAGCCUGUAAUCUGUACGGGUUGUGGGAGCAAGAACCCGGAGAUGGAUUCUGAGACACGAAUCCAGGCCCUACGGGGCGCAGCAGGCGCGAAAACUUUACAAUGCGGGAAACCGUGAUAAGGGAACCCCGAGUGCCCGUAAAUUCGGGCUGUUAACCUGUUUAAAAAGCAGGUGGAGAAAGGGCCGGGCAAGACCGGUGCCAGCCGCCGCGGUAAUACCGGCGGCUCGAGUGGUGGCCACUAUUACUGGGCUUAAAGCGUCCGUAGCUGGAUUGUUAAGUCUCUUGGGAAAUCUACCGGCUUAACCGAUAGGCGUUCAAGGGAUACUGGCAAUCUAGGGACCGGGAGAGGUGAGAGGUACUCCAGGGGUAGGAGUGAAAUCCUGUAAUCCUUGGGGGACCACCUGUGGCGAAGGCGUCUCACCAGAACGGCUCCGACAGUGAGGGACGAAAGCUGGGGGAGCAAACCGGAUUAGAUACCCGGGUAGUCCCAGCUGUAAACGAUGCGCGUUAGGUGUAUCGGUGACCACGAGUCACCGAGGUGCCGAAGAGAAAUCGUGAAACGUGCCGCCUGGGAAGUACGGUCGCAAGGCUGAAACUUAAAGGAAUUGGCGGGGGAGCAC